GGCGGCGUAGCUCAGUUGGUUAGAGCACACGGUUCAUACCCGUGACGUCGGUGGUUCGAAUCCACCCGCCGCUACCA
Molecule: transfer RNA, 77 nt
Filed under: Bacillota bacterium
Lineage: Bacteria; Bacillati; Bacillota
Description: tRNA-Met
Rfam family: tRNA
About the family: Transfer RNA (tRNA) molecules are approximately 80 nucleotides in length. Their secondary structure includes four short double-helical elements and three loops (D, anti-codon, and T loops). Further hydrogen bonds mediate the characteristic L-shaped molecular structure. tRNAs have two regions of fundamental functional importance: the anti-codon, which is responsible for specific mRNA codon recognition, and the 3' end, to which the tRNAs corresponding amino acid is attached (by aminoacyl-tRNA synthetases). tRNAs cope with the degeneracy of the genetic code in two manners: having more than one tRNA (with a specific anti-codon) for a particular amino acid; and 'wobble' base-pairing, i.e. permitting non-standard base-pairing at the 3rd anti-codon position.
Source: RNAcentral